AACGAACGCUGGCGGCAUGCCUAACACAUGCAAGUCGAACGAGACCUUCGGGCCUAGUGGCGCACGGGUGCGUAACGCGUGGGAACCUGCCCUUAGGUUCGGAAUAACUCCCCGAAAGGGGUGCUAAUACCGGAUAAUGUCUUCGGACCAAAGAUUUAUCGCCUUUGGAUGGGCCCGGAUUGGAUUAGCUAGUUGGUAGGGUAAAAGCCUGCCAAGGCGACGAUCCAUAGCUGGUCUGGGAGGAUGAUCAGCCACACUGGGACUGAGACACGGCCCAGACUCCUACGGGAGGCUGCAGUGGAGAAUAUUGGACGAUGAGCGAAAGCCUGAUCCAGCAAUGCCGCGUGAGAGAGGAAUGCCUUAGGGUUGUAAAGCUCUUUUACCCGGGAUGAUAAUGACAGUACCGGGAAAAUAAGCACCGGCUAACUCCGUG
Molecule: ribosomal RNA, 433 nt
Filed under: uncultured bacterium
Lineage: Bacteria
Description: partial 16S ribosomal RNA
Rfam family: Bacterial small subunit ribosomal RNA
Source: RNAcentral